CAGCGCCCGGGUGCGUUCAGUCCUCGCCCGGCCGCCGCCACCCGAGUCGGCCGCGAGAGCGAGGGGCGCACUGGGUCAGAGGCGGCUGCUGGCCAGCGACUACCCGCGCGCGCUCCUCCGCGAAGUGAAGUUGCUGACACACAGGAAACCCUCCGGACCGCCGAGCCCCGCGCCGCUGGCGCCCGAGCUGGCGUCCUGGAGCACAAGUGUCCGGGGCCCAGCCCAGGCCAGGUGCUCGCAGGCUCCCGCAGCUCGCGGUCCCCAACCGGGAACGCCCUGGCUGAGCCUGGCACGUCAAAUAAACCGACGUCACGAGUCACGUCAGUGUGAGAAGUCAAAAGGAGCCUGGUGAAAAUUCCCGGAGUUGAUUUACACGCUGCUUCAGUUAACACCCCCUAGACAAGCCAGCUCUCCAAAUCCUCCCUGGAGCACGUCUAACCAAAAGAUCAGAAACUCCAGUGAAAGAAAGAAAAAAAAAAUCAAAAUUAAACCUUUUGGAAGUAAUUUGAAUAUUAAAUCAGCUUUAUGUAAAUAAAUGUAAAGAACAAAGUGAUUCAGGUGGCUGGACCCUGACCCUUAUGAUGGCAGAGGAAGGUCGUCCUACCUUUCCAUCUCUACAGAUGUGUGGACAAAGCAGAACGGAAAGGCUCAGGAUGACAUUGAUUCUGUGUGAUUGCAGUACCCAAGGUCUGUUCCUCAGUCCGCAUCUCUGGGAACCCUCCAGCGUGAGGAAGAAGAGGAGGCAGUGGGCUCAGCAUCAGCUGCCUUGCAUUCCUUCACAUGCUACAUGGCAACCUUCUCAAUGCCCCCAUCACCAUGGGAAUGAGUGGAAAAAAGGCUCUGAGGGUGGAACUGCAGCUUCUGCAUAGACUUAUCCUACUGCUUCCCCGAUAAUCUAUGGAAUUUACAUGUGUGACGGAUCGUGGACUCUACUUCAUGUCCAACCAGAGCAGUAAAAAAACUGUGCUCCAUUUGUGUACCAUGAAGCAAUCUGCAUUCUGCUAUCCUGUGUUAGAACAAAUAAAUAAAUAAAUAAAUAAAUAGAAUUUA
Marmota flaviventris (yellow-bellied marmot) is the source of this 1050-nucleotide long non-coding RNA. RefSeq lists it as uncharacterized. The record is from RefSeq and is a predicted model, not a curated record. Lineage: Eukaryota; Metazoa; Chordata; Mammalia; Rodentia; Sciuridae.